This 24447-nucleotide long non-coding RNA is filed under the name Lactuca sativa (garden lettuce). Its description in RNAcentral is "long non-coding RNA (LSAT_LNC003011)". The record is from RNAcentral. Lineage: Eukaryota; Viridiplantae; Streptophyta; Magnoliopsida; Asterales; Asteraceae.
UAUAUAUAUAUAUAUAUAUAGGUACUUUUCUUAUGAGUUAUGUACCUGCUUUGGUGUUAUUUGACUCGGUUGUGAGUCUGUCCUUCGUGUCCUUAGCGUUUAGUCUUCACAUUAGUGUCGAGCGAGAGGCGUUGAGUCGACGUUUGUGAGUUUUUAUAGCCGACGAACAUGCGGUUUCUGCGACCGUGGUUUUUUGGGAUAUGUUUUGGUGAUUUUUUUUGUGGAGUUUCCGAUAGAUCUGGUGCCGAUAGCAGUGGGUGACGUUUGUGUCAUUGUGGGCAUGGAUUGGUUGUGUCGAUUUGGGGUUAUGAUCGACUUUGAGUGACCGAUGGUGACCAUACGAGACCCUAGUAGGGGAGUGCUUACCGUGUACGACAAGAGUACCAGGUCCGGAUCCACUUUUUUCUCUACUGCCUGAGCAAUACAUAGUAUACAAUUGGGAUGUAUGGGUUUUUGGCGUAUGUGGUGGAUAUGCGGAUUACUACAGAGAGACCGCGUUCUGUCUUCGAGGUUCCGAUAGUGUGCGAGUUCCCAAAAGUGUUUCCCAAAGAGUUGUCGGGAGUGCCUCCUGAGAGGCAGGUGGAGUUUUAGAUUGAUUUAGUUCCGGGACUGGCGCUUAUCGCCAAAGCACCUUAUCGCCUUGUGCUGCCUGAGAUGCAACAGUUAUCUUCUCAGUUUCAGGAGCUGCUAGGGAAGGUUUUUAUCAGACCGAGUAGCUCAUCAUGGGGAGCACCGAUCCUUUUUGUCAAGAAGAAGGAUGAUUCACACCAGAUGUGUAUAGAUUACCGGGAGUUGAACAAGCUAACGGUCAAGAACCGUUAUCCACUUCCGAGGAUCGACGAUUUAUUCAAUCAGUUGCAAGGGGCAUCUUAGUUUUCCAAGAUUGAUUUGAGAUCUGGAUAUCACCAGGUGAGUGUGUGAGGGGAGGAUAUUCCAAAGACGGCCUUUAGAACUCGUUAUGGGCAUUACGAGUUUGUAGUGACGCGUUUCUGGCUCACCCACGCAUCGACAGCGUUCACGGAUCUCAUAAACGGGGUGUGCAAGCCUAUGUUGGAUCGUCGGUGAUCAUGUUCAUCGAUGAUAUCUUGGUGUAUUUGAGGUCCAUAGAGCAGCAUGAGGAGCAUCUGCGAGAGGUUUUUGGGGUUUUGAGGCUGGAGAGGCUUUAUGCUAAAUUCUCCAAGUGUAAUUUCUGGUUAUGAGAUGUCUAGUUCCUGGGACACCUUGUUAAUCAGAAUGGGAUAUUGGUUGAUCCGGCCAAGCUUGAGGCAGUUAUGCGAUGGGGGGUGCCGAGAUCUAUUAGAUUAUAUGUCUAAGCCCAUAACUAUUAUUGGUAUGUACUUGACACAAGAGUAGCAUGGUCCAUUUGGGUUGUGUAACGACCAGAAAUUUCAACCAAUUUAAAAUUUUCAAAAACAACCCGAUUCCAUUAAAGUUUAUUACAAACAGGUUUUCAAUACAAUUUAUUUUAAUUAUUCCCAAAAUCUCAUCACAAUAAUAACACAAGGAGCGGUACGAUCACGCCUUCGCCUUGCCACGGUCACCUGAAGAACCUGAAAAACAUUAAACCACAACUAUAAGCCCGAAAGCUUAGUGAGAUACCCCCAAAAUACCAACCACAUAUACCAUACACGCAUAAUAUGCCAUAACAUAUCCGAUCACAGAACAGCCAUGCACUUCGGGUGUACUAUGGGACUGGUCCGCCGCACCGGCCAACAGUCCACCUGGUCCACCCUCNNNNNNNNNNNNNNNNNNNNNNNNNNNNNNNNNNNNNNNNNNNNNNNNNNNNNNNNNNNNNNNNNNNNNNNNNNNNNNNNNNNNNNNNNNNNNNNNNNNNNNAAGUCAAAGUCAACCCCUGACUGACUCUACUCGCCGAGUCAACCCGAUGACUCGCCGAGUCCCCAUGCUCAGAAUUCCCCCAAUCCGCGACUCAACUCGCCGAGUCACCCCGAGACUCGCCGAGUCCAACAACUCUGAGUCCACUCACACACAACUCACCGAGUCAUCCCUUGACUCACCGAUUCACGGCUCAACCAGAAAAGAUUGGGACUCUUCGACAAGACUCGCCGAGUCCAAGAACAGAAUCGUCGAGUCUAAGGCUAUCUUCAACCUACUCGCCGAGUUGUUCUUCCAACUCGUCGAGUCCCAGCCUAUCUUCAAGCAACUCGUCGAGUCUACCCAUGUGACUCGCCGAGUACCACAGGUCUGAAUCCAUACAGAAGCAUUCCAGGCCAUGCAAUUGAUCCAAAACGUAGAUCUAGCCUCCUACAACCCAUCCAUCACGUAAAGUGGCAAAGUUUACGUGAAUCCAAAGAGAUCUAGGCCUUUUACACUUUAGGCUAGGGUUUGGGACAUGAUGGCUUCACUAAACACUCAAACACAGGGACUUUAAUGCACUCUAAACCUUCCCCCUACCAGAUCUAAGGUAGCAACCUCAGAUCUAUCCUUCAAUCCCAAGAUACCACAAGCCAAACCUCUCACCCAUUCCAAAAAGAAGAAUCUAUAUGAGUAAUAGCCCAAUAACGAGAUAAUAUCUCAAAAGAACGCCCCAAUAGCAAGGAAACUCGAAUCCCAGCAAAGCCCCUUUCUCCAAGCCUCCUACCCUUCAAGAUUUCCUCAACAAUUGCUUCUCCAAGCUUCCAAAUGCAACUUGAUCCACUCACACACGAAGGUUAGGGUUUCUGGACUUGAGGAAGAGUAAAGAGGCUGGGGGAAUGGAGGUUAUGAUCUUUAUAUAGGGCUCAACCCCGAGAGUUAGGGUUUUCUCCACUCAGCGCCUACUCGCUGAGUCCAGCCGCUGACUCGCCGAGUCGGCCACUUAACACGCGACCCAUUCGUGACCCUACUCGCCGAGUCCACCCAUGUACUCGCCGAGUUCCCUUUUUCAAUUUAAUCUUUUAGCCCUUCAACUCUAGUCUUGAUAUUUCAGGAUGUUACAAUUCUCCCCCACUUAAAUUAGGCUUCGUCCUCGAAGCCUACGACAACUCAUCUGCAAAAAUACUCCCACAACGCGCCACCUGGCCUUAACCGGACCAUGUUCCUAAAGGCAUAACCAUCGAAACUCGAACUCACUUUCUCUUUCCUGUGUCCUGACCACCGUCCCAAGCCGGCCACUGGUUUUACCCUCUGAUAAUCACACUCAACCAUCGGGUACUACCCAUGAUGCAAGAUUGCUCUAGAUCGCCACAAUCCCUCGACCCAUACGAGCUGGAAAUAACCAUGAAUCACCGGAUUCCCGAUCCGAAUCCGACUAUAUCCACUCCGUGCUGACAGAAGGACACAUUCUUCAGUCGUAGAGCAACUCCCACGAGUUCUCUUCUUGCAAUCACAUGCACAUGCUGAACCAGCUCUAGCACCCUCAGGUUGGGAAAACCCGAUACACUGAUGACAUCUCCAAACAUCCCCCAGGAUGAACCACCACUACAUACGCACUUCUCUGAUCAGAAUCACACUGAGAGCCCGAGACUCCCUCCUAGCAUCCCUUCCGAGCCUCUUGGCUCUACACCCGCGAAAUUCCUUCUGCGAUCUCAGCUGACAUCCCAAACCGGAUGUGAUUCCGUUCCACUGCCGCAAACACGUUGCUCAAAGACCAUACACGGAUCACCCUAAUCAUAACUCUGCUCUGCCGCUUUCACUUCCGUGAACUUGCACUCCCUCUUGGAGUUAUACUCCUCUCUCAUUCCUUUACCAAGGAAUCUACUUGGCCGCCUUGUCACUCCGACAAGUGCCACGGUGCUCGCCCAACGCUACACCAUUCCUUCAUAGCGUAACCGCUAUCCAUCCAACACUCAUGCUCUGACUCGGGUCGCAGGGACUCUCAAGCCCAUGCAUUAUCUCAACUAGUCAAGAUCACUACCCGGGGCCAGACCUUCAAAUGCUAUCACACCGCAACAUACACAAUCCAUAUCCUCGAACCGAUCCAACAAUACCUGCAGAGUCUUCAGCAUGACUGGACCGCCUCACCAGGCCUUCAGCCAAUCUGGACCACUCUCAGAACCUUCAGCCAAUCUGGACCGCUCUCAGUGCCUUCAGUUUAGCUGGACCGUUCUCCGAGCCUUCGGCCUGACUGGUACGCCUACCGGCCUUCAGUCUAUCCGGACCGCUCAACUAGCAUUCAUCAUUCCGAGCUAUCACUCCGGGAAAUCUUCCCAUGCAUACCGUUCUAGCCCUCUAGGGGUUCCGAACUCUAUCUCCAUCACACAACUCAAUCCCGGCCUGAUCCCAGACCCUCCGCAAAUAAGUACCUUUGGUCUGUAUUCCGCCCCGCAUGCCUGCCACUUACUCAUGCCAGCCUACGCUCUUGGCUGACAGAACACUGCUGAAUCCCAGACAGCUCAACAAUCUCACAUACUCAUCGAUCAUCCGGAGAAUUUUCCAAUUCUCCCCCACUUAGGGCACUGACUAUCAACCACCGGUCGCUAUCACCGACCUCCCAAAACAACCCUGCACAACACCACACUUACACGCGGACUGAUUUCCCACUAGCACUAGCAACCUUCACAAAAUCACAUUUCCACACUGAUCCUCCCGCUCGAAAGAAACUCAAUCUGCAGCUAACCACUCCUCAGAAGGCAGAUGCUACCCGACAUUCAGACCAACGCCAGAUUCCCACUAACAACCCCAUGAAUGAUAACCAACGAAAUUCCCAACACUAACCCAUAACCAUACCAUAACUCUCAAAAACAACAAAUACCACACCAAGAACCACACAAAGAUACUAGCACAUAAACAAUACUCCACAAUAAUCAUAAGAUAACAAGACAUCAAGGAAGAAACAUACCCGCAGCUGCAUCCGGCACUGCUCUGACCUCCUCUGCUGCAAGCUGAAAAGCACGACCCUGAGCCCUUGGGGGCUCCGCUCCACCCUGACCUCCACCCGUGAUCCUCAAAGUGGCCGGUGCUGGAGCCUGCACCGGUCCUGCAGCAAGCUGUGGACAGUUGACCCUCAAAUGUCCAACCUGAUGACAAUGAUAACAAAUCCUCAAAUCCCGAACCGGCGCUGACUGCCGACAAUCCCUCGCAUAGUGCCCCUCCUUUCCGCACUUACGGCAUGCACCACCGGACCUACAAACUCCGGUGUGACUCCUUCCACACUUCCCACAAGUGUGGCUACUCAGAUCCCCCACUCUAGAGUCAACAGUCUUCGACCGUUUUGGCGCCGGCUGCAACUGCACUGGAGCCUACCUCAACUCACGCAUCUGCAACUCAAUCUCUAACUCGCGCCGCCUGGCGGCCUCCUGUAACUCCAACAAGGUCUCGCACCUCUGCAUAGACAUAAAAUGUCUGAUAUCCCUCUUAAGCAUGCUCAGAUAUCGAGACAUCUGAGCCUGCUCCGAAGCGAACUCUGGGCAAAACAUCGCCCUCUCAGUGAACAUCCUGGUGAUCUCCGUCACCGACUCCGAACCCUGCUUCAGCUCAAGGNUCCUGAGCCAAUCUCUCCCUCUCAACUCGUGGAACAUAGCGAGUGCUGAACAUCUCGCUGAACUGAUCCCAUGAAACCGCAACCCUCUGCGCAUCAGAAUAUGAACCCAUGGUCAAUCUCCACCAAUCCUUCGCCUCGAGCCUCAACAGGUUCAGAGCACACCUCGCUCUCUGAUCAGCAGGGCAUGAACACGUGAAGAAACACCCCUCCACGUCUGACAACCGUCUCAUAGCAACAAUCGGGUCCUUAACUCCAUCGAAGGUAGGGGGCUUCGUAUUAGCGAAGUCCCGAUACUGNCGUAUUAUCGAAGUCCGGAUACUGAAAGCCCCGACCAACUCCUCCCCCUACCUCUGCUACAGCUGCUGUAGCCGCCGCGACAUCCGUCUCUGUGAGAGCUGCAUAACGCUCAUCAAAAUACUCAAUCAUGGCGGUCUUGAUCGACCCAAACAGCUCCGACAACUCAGCCCGAAACAACUCAACAAUCUCAUCACGCAGGAUAUCACGAAUCCUCGCAUCCAACUCGCACGUGCUCAUCUGACCGAUAACCUCUGGCGGUACUGACCCGCCCGAGACUCCUCUCCUGCUCCCGAUCCUGAUCCGGAUCCACUCCUAGCAUGCCUCGAAAUCUCCAUACUGAAAAACACCACACAAAAUCUCAGACUCUUCCCACUAUCCCGGGAACCAACUGUCUCAACCCAGCCAUAGAGGUCAUGGUUUCCCUGAUAUGAGUAAGGGUCCUGUGCUUUCAGUAGUACGGGCCCAUACUACCUUCCACACCUACCCAUAUUUGUAUGAAGUACUACCACAACACCCUAGUGAAAACAUGCAUAACAACGCUCAACCCUCGCAACUAGAGUAACACUAGAAAUCUCUCAUAAGGAAACCCUAGGCUACAGGCAUCACAAAUCAGGCAACAUUAUCAUGAAAUCCUAAAGACCCCUAGCCUAGCACUAGCAUGCUGUUUUAACAAAGCUCAAAACACAUAUCAUGUAUGGUAUUUUGGGGUUACUUAUUGGCUCCGGCUGAUCGUACCUUCGCGUCCUCCUUUACUCAUUUUGAAAACCAUUUUAAAUACUCUUUUGAAAACUCUCCUCGAUUUGAGACUGGAGUCACACGAAUGUUCCUCCAAUUCACUCAAUCCAAGGCUCUGAUACCAACUUGUAACGACCAGAAAUUUCAACCAAUUUAAAAUUUUCAAAAACAACCCGAUUCCAUUAAAGUAUAUUACAAAAAGGUUUUCAAUACAAUUUAUUUUAAGUAUUCCCAGAAUCUCAUCACAAUAAUAACACGAGGAGCGGUACGAUCACGCCUUCGCCUUGCCACGGUCACCUGAAGAACCUGAAAAACAUUAAACCACAACUGUAAGCCCGAAAGCUUAGUGAGAUACCCCCAAAAUACCAGCCACAUAUACCAUACACGCAUAAUAUGCCAUAACAUAUCCGAUCACAGUACAACCAUGCACUUCGGGUCUACUCUGGGACUGGUCCGCCGUACCGGCCAACAGUCCACCUGGUCCACCCUUUGAGUCUAGCCAUAUACCUCGAGUCUAUAGUGAGAUUGGUCUGCCCGCACCGGGCCUUCAAUCCACCUGGUCCACUCUCCGAAUCUAACCACAUACAUCGAUUCUGCAGUGUGAUUGGUCUGCCCGCACCGGGCCUUCAAUCCACCUGGUCCACCGUCUGAGUCUACUCACACACAACUCACCAAGUCAUCCCUUGACUCACCGAUUCACGGCUCAACCAGAAAAGAUUGGGACUCUUCGACAAGACUCGCCGAGUCCAAGAACAGACUCGUCAUGUCUAAGGCUAUCUUCAACCUACUCGCCGAGUUGUUCUUCCAACUCGUCGAGUUCCAGGCCAUCUUCAUCCAACUCGCCGAGUUGUUCUUCCAACUCGUCGAGUCCCAACCUAUCUUCAAGUAACUUGUCGAGUCUACCCAUGUGACUCACCGAGUACCACCGGUCUGAAUCCAUACAGAAGCAUUCCAGGCCAUGCAAUUGAUCCAAAACGUAGAUCUAGCCUCCUACAACCCAUCCAUCACGUAAAGUGGCAAAAUUUACGUGAAUCCAAAGAGAUCUAGGCCUUUUACACUUUAGGCUAGGGUUUGGGACAUGAUGGCCUCACUAAACACUCAAACACAGGGACUUUAAUGCACUCUAAACCUUCUCCCUACCAGAUCUGAGGUAGCAACCUCAGAUCUAUCCUUCAAUCCCAAGAUACCACAAGCCAAACCUCUCAUCCAUUCCAAAAAGAAGAAUCUAUAUGAGUAACCGCCCAAGAACGAGAUAAUACCUCAAAAGAAAGCCCCAACAGCAAGGAAACUCGAAUCCAAGCAAAGCCCCUUGCUCCAAGCCUCCUACCCUUCAAGAUUUCCUCAACAAUUGCUUCUCUAAGCUUCCAAAUGCAACUUGCUCCACUCACACACGAAGGUUAGGGUUUCUGGACUUGAGGAAGAGUAAAGAGGCUGGGGGAAUGGAGGUUAUGAUCUUUAUAUAGGGCUCAACCCCGAGAAUUAGGGUUUUCUCCACUCAGCGCCUACUCGCCGAGUCCAGCCGCUGACUCGCCGAGUUGGCCACUUAACACGCGACCCAUUCGCGACCCUACUCGCCGAGUCUACCCAUGGACUCGCCGAGUUCCCUUUUUCAAUAUACUCUUUUAGCCCUUCAACUCUACUCUUGAUAUUUCGGGAUGUUACAGGUUGCAUGGCAUCAGAACAAUUUGGAUAGAAUUUUGUGAGAAUAGGAUAUUUAUGAUUUAUUAAUAUAUUAUAAGUUCAAAUAUAUUAAUAUGAAAUCAUGUUAUUUAAUUAGUAUUGAUCAAGAAUUAGUUUGGAAUUAGUUGUAUGAUCAAAAGAGACUAAUUAAAUAAAUGGGGAUUGAUUUGGUAAAUCAUUCAUUCUUAUAAAGUGGGCUUAUGAUCCAUAGUUCUUCGUGUUGGGCUAAACCCAUGUGGUGACCCAAUGAUAGUCCACGGAGUUUAAAACCCAUGGAUCAUGAGGAAUGUGGAAAGACAUGAGUUACAUGGUGUAACCCUAAUAUGAACACUAUAUUAGAAGCCUCAUAGCUCAUGAAAUGUGACUUAGAGUCUUGGCAAGGAGGGCUAGCCGAUUUCAUGAAGUUUAAGUGUUCUUCUCUCAAGUUAUUCCAAUUGUUGAUGGUGUUGUGUGAUUCCAUUUUGAGGUGCAACACUUGGGACAAUAAGCUCCUAAAUCUCUAAUGCUUCAAACUACAAGAAAAUGUAUGUUAUCUAACUUGUUUUAUUACCCAUGUAUAAACUUUUGUAUGCUAGUUAGGGUAAUACCUUGGAAAGUUCAAGCUUGCAUGUAUAAUAGAGAAAACAUAGAUUGUUUGGUCAUAAUUUGUUGGUUUGGGCUAGGCAUCUAUCUUUAUCGGUCUGAUAGGGUUUUGCUCAUGCAAUAGGUGUUUGCGGCUUGUGUUCACGGUUCUAAGGUGUUCACGGCCGUGAACAUGUUCACGGGCGUGAACCCGUUUGCGAUUGGUCAUGUCCUAUAAAUAUUAUGUCAGUGAGUCAGACGUAUGUGUGUGUCCUGAGUGUACUUGACAUUUACGGCUGAAUAGAACGUGUGCAUCGUUAGAUCUUCUCUGCUUCUACUCCUUCUAAUUCUUAUUGUUAUGGCAUCUUGAUUGUGUUUGAUCACUGGUUGGUUCAUGUUUGUGGGACUUUACAAUUGGUAUCAGAGCCAAUCUAGUGUCAAAAUCAUUCAAGUAGUGUCUCGGCUGGAGUAAUCUUCAAUUACGUGACUGUUUAAAGCAUAUUUACGGAGUUUAUGCAUUGGAUCGAGAAGUUCAAAGAAAAAGGAAUCACAAUCAGCAUCAAAAUCAUUUGUUCUCAAUUUUUUCUGGGUGUUUACGAUUUCAUUGUUUGAAGUGUUUACGGCAGUGAACUCUAUGUACGACCGUGAACCAUUCAUCUUCAUCAGCCGUGUUCUUCUCAGUUGUCUGUGAUCCAUUCAUUGGUAGUGAACCAUUCAUAUACAUUGAUUGUGAUCCAUUGAUUGGUAGUGAACCAUUCAUAUACAUUGACCGUGAUCCAUUGUUUAACCGUGAAUCACUUGUUGACCGUGAACUGUUGUUGACCGUGAAUCGACCGUGAACAGUAAACUGUGUACGGCUGUGAACCUUAUACGGUCGUAAACUCACUUGGUUAUAGAACACUUUCUAUUUUGUACUUUCAUUGCAAGUUUUAUUUUUUCAAUCAAUCAAGAAAAAAAAACAAAUGAACUCUCAAACUUUAACAGCUCAUCAGGAACUGGAUUCUAUUAUGGGUACAACUACGUGCAUUCUAUGCCUGUUAUCUGCUGAGGGUUUCCCCGAAUGGAAAUAUUCCAUGGAAAAGUACAUAAAGAUGAAGGACUUCAAGAUAUGGAGAAGCAUCUUGAAAGGACCAGUUUGAAUCACCACAACACUUGAAGAUGGAACAGUCAGUCACAAUGAGUUUGAAAACGACACCGAUGAAGACUUUGAGAAAAUUUAAGAAAAAAAGAGAAAGCAUUCACCACAUUUACCAUGUCCCUAUAUUCAAAGAUUGCUCAGGGUUUCAGAGAAUACAAUUCUGCAAAAGCUUUGUGGGAAGCACUGAUUGAAGUAUACGAAGCAGUUGGGGAGCUACCACUAACAACCAAACGGCGAAUCUGGCACUGGUGGCUAAGUCAUUUUACUGGGAAGAUCAGAUUCAGGCGCUGAACAUCUCAGGACCUAAAAAUGCUCAGCUUGCCUAGAUCAAUGAUGUCCCAGAAGAAAAAGCGGAAGUGGACCCGGAAGAAGAAAUGAUGGAGGUGCGAUUUUCCUUUAUGGUACAGAUUAACCAGAGUCUAAAAAGAAGGAGGUCAAUGAAAUCUAUUGUUCUCAAACUUGCAUUAAAACUGUUAAAUUUUUACGUGAGCAAAUUGAAUUGAUAAAAAGGGAGAACGAGGACCUUAAAUAUGAGGGGUACAACCUUAGGAAAGGCCAAAAACCAUUAAAAGUACAACUAGAGGCCAAGACUAAGGAGUUUAGAAAAUUGCAGGAAGAUUAUAGUAACAAGUGUGAGAACUAUAAUUACAUUAAGAAACAACUUGCUGUUGUAACUAAAGAACUUGACACACUGAAGAUCCGUUUUGAAAAUGCCGAUUUUAACUUUAAGAAAUACGAUGUGUCAAGUGAAAAAGUUGCAAAAAUAAUUGAAAAAAAAAUGAAGUGGAAGAAAAAACGAGUAGAUAUAGGAUAUGAUAGUGUCCCUCCCCCAUUCAAUCAAAAUUAUAUUGCUAAACCUUUGACUCAGAAGGAGAUAGACCGAGAACCAUUUAUGGUGUAUGGUAAACAAGCGGUAUAGGUCACACAAAGUAGUGCUAGGAAAUAGAUACUAACAUUUCUACUUCUCAUGCAGAUUCAUCUCUAAGUCAAGGAAAGUAGGAUUCUGGAGAGGAUAGUGCUAAUAAUAAUUCUGUUUUGAAAAAUGAUGUUUCUAUUUCAGAAAAUAUUGUUUUUCUUUCUAAAACUGAUGAUUAUGUUUCUAAUUCUGAUUCUUCAGAUGUUGCUUGUGGUGAUGUGUCUAAUAAUUCUGAUGUUUCUGUUACUAGCACACAGACACACACACACACACACACUACACCUACACCUGUCACACAACCUGAAUCAUGCACUUAUACAUGUGGAAGGAGUAAGAGAUUUGAUAAGAAAAAUAAACCAAAAAAGGGUGGUACUAGUUUUUGCGACAAAAAGAAACAUGUUUUAACUGUGAAUCUGGUGGUCAUAUAGCUCGCAAUUGUCCUAAUCGGGCAUUUGUUCAAUUUUUUGCACCAAGAAGAGAAAAUGAGUCACGAGGUAGGUCUCUCACGAGAAAGUCCUCGAGAUCUCGUCUUCGUGAUGAUGAUUAGAAUGUUCAUAAGGACAAGAGAAGGGCUGAACUUAAAACGAACAAACAAGUUUUCAAUCAAACAACCACAUGUGCUUUGAUGAAAUCGAAUGCGGCCAAGCCAAGAUCGAUGUCGUCAAAGACAGUGUCUGGAUCCCCGACUAAUCCUAGUCGGAAAUCCAAACACUCAAAACAAAAGAAAAUUAUUUCAAAAUCACCUGUGAAUAUUUCCAAACCUAAAUACCAAUGGAUACCCAACAAUCAAAAUAUCCAAUCAUCUCAAUCUUCUAGUAGUGCUUCUGGUAGUGAAUUAAAAUCAAAAAUUGAAAAAGAAAAAUUUGUUGUUAAUGUCAAGGGAAAGCCAAUGUUGUUAUGACCUGGGUUCCCAAAUCUCAUUAAUCCUGCAUAUUAUGCAGGAACAUCUGCGGGGGAAUGUCGCCAGACCGUGUUAUGUCGACAACAGUUGUUCCCAACACAUGACAAGAGACAUUUCCCAGUUGCACGAAAUUCAAAACUUUAAUGGGGGAUUUUUUUUCCUUUUGCGGCAGGGGAUGGAGGAAAGAUCAUGCAAAAAGUAAUCGUCUCUAAUGGAGUGUUUAGCUUUGAAAACGUCAACUACGUGCAUGAGUUGAAGCAUUUCUUUUUGAGCGUCUCUCAAAUAUGCGACAAGGGCUACUCUACCCACUUCAUUGAUAAAGAAUGCCUUAUCUUGAAACCUGGUAUCGUCAUCGCUGAAGAAUGGAUAUUGGUGAAAUCGAAAAGAGACAGGAACGCUUACAUCGUCAACAUGAAUCAUAAUAUCCCAGAACAAGUCACAUGCCUUUUCUCUAAAGUCUCAUAACAUAAUUUGAUGGUUUGGCAUCAUCGUCUUGGGCAUGCAAACGCCAAGAGCCUCAAUCGUCUUGCAAAGAAGGAGAUCGUGCGUGGCCUUCCAGUUAAAUACUUUAUAACUUUUGAAAAAUGUGUGGCUUGUGCUCAGGGAAAUAUCAUAGAAUGCCCCAUUUUCCAAAGGCGGUUAAUUCAAUCAGCAAGGUUCUCCAGUUAUUGCACAUGGAUUUUUUUGGUCCUGUCAAUGUCCUCAACAUUCACAAAAACUCUUACUGCUUGGUUGUGAUAGAUGACUACUCGCGUUACACAUGGGUCUUCUUCUUAUCCAUCAAGAGUUGGAUUUCAAACUUGAUCAAGAAGUUCAUGGUGAUGAUUGAGAAUCAGACUAAUUAGAAGGUGAAAGCGCUUAGAAUGGAUAAUGGUACAAAAUUCAAGAACGUUGUUUUGGAUCACUUUUGUGCAGAAAAAGGGAUAGUGUGUCAGUAUACUCUCGUUCGGACACCUCAACAAAAUGGUGUUACGGAAUGGUGGAACCAAACAUUAAUGGACGCCGCAAGGAAGACGUUGUGUGAUUCUAAACUACCAGUCUUCUUUUGGGCAGAGACGAUCAACACUGUCUGCUACGUUCAGAAUCGAGUGCUGAUCAACAACGCUCAGAUAAAGACCCCAUACGAAAUUCUAUACAACCACAAGCCAUCAGUUGCUCACUUCCUUAUAUUUGAAUGUGCUUGCACCCUUCUUCAUCUUGAAUCCAACCCCUAAUUCAAGUCUAAAUCCAAUUAAUGGUACUUUGUGGGAUGUGCAGUACGUACAGCUUACUGUGUUUAUAACAAGAGGACAAAGUAGUGCUGGGUUAUGAGCAUUAUAACACUUCUAAGUGUAUAUGCAAACCUAAAUACCUUGGAUCUAUGUUUUCUCUAUUAUACAUGAAAAUAUGGAUAUUUCAAAGUAUUACCCUAUCUAGCAUACAAUAUUUUGAUACUUGGAUGAUAUAACAAGUUAGAAUACAUACAUGUUGAUGUAGCUUGACUCUAUGAAGCUCGAGAACCUAGUUCCCCAAGUGUGAGACCUCAAAUGGUUCACACAACAUAAUUAACACUUGGAAUAACUAUGAGAAGAGAUACAUGAGCUCUAGAAAUCGGCUUGCCCUCUUGUGUAUACACUAGUGCCAAUUUCACCAACCAAUGGGUCUUUAUAUAGUGUGGCUAUUAGGGUUACAACAUGUAACUGAUGACUUUACCCAUUCCUUAUGCUCCAUGGGUUUUAACCUCCAUGGAGUAUCCAUGGGUCACCACAUGGGUUAAACCCAACAUGAGGAAUCAUGGAUCAUUAGCCCACAUAUAUAAGAAUGAAUGAUUUACACAAUCAAUCCCCAUAUAUUUAAUUAGUCUCUUUUGAUCACUAAGUUAAGUCCAAAUUAAUUCUUGAUCAAUACUAAUUAAAUAACAUGAUUUCAUAUUAAUAUAUUAGAACUUAUAAUACAUUAAUAUGUCACCAAUGUCCUCUCCUCACAAACGGUCUAUCCAAAUGUUCCGAUGCUAUGCAACCCAAAUGGACCAUGCCGAUUCGGGUCAAGUACAUACCAAUUAUAGUUAUGGACUUAGACACUAAUUCAACAGUCUCCCACUUGGAUAAGUCUGAAACUAUUAUUGCGUAUGACUUCAAAAACCAACUGGCAAUCGUAGCUCUCAAAAGCCGCUGUCAAACCCUGACCUUGUCGACGAACUCUGACCUUUGUCAAUGACUUGUCCACUAGAUAAGGGAUCAUAUAUUUCCCCAUUCUAGAUAUCAUAUGACUAAGACAUGGACUAAAAUCAUUCUCUCUGUCCAUUUUUUGUUUCUCAAUUUCCGAUUUAUGACGACUGAUUAAUUGAAAAAAUCAAAUUAGUCUUGGCUUGGCCAAGCACUCACAUGUAUCAUUAUUAAAGUAUCGAGCGGCCCACAUAUAUCGCUUUUAUCCCGAAGGUAAAAGGAAUGGAUAAAAUUUGACUCAUAUGGCUUGUUCUACUACUUGUUGAAUUGUACACACAUGCACGUUUUAUAACAUCGAGUUACCAAUGCGUGUUUCAUGCAAUCAAUGUAUAACCAACUCAUAGUAACAACUCAUACCUCUAGGUUUGAAGAAUAUAAGAUAUUAUCAUCUGAUGAUCACUUGUGAUAAAAUUCAUGAAGUGAUUCCAAUGAGCGUGGGUUGAAUUCACUACUCAGAACUUAUGAGCACUCAUGAGUGUUGCAACACCAUUUUUUCCAACAUCUUAGACCUCUAUAAGUCAACUCAUGACAAUUUUAAUUCUUAUCUACUUCCAACAUAUGACCGAUUGCGGAUGGUUUGAAUAACUUAGUCAUUCAAGAAGAACGACCUAGUUAUUCGGGAAGUCAAAACAUGUAAAGUGAAACACAAGAAUAAUCGAAUCCAAUAUGGUCUCAAAACUUAUGAAUAUAAAUAAAACACCUUUUAUUUAUCACCAUAUUGAUUACCCAUCAUUCAUUGCAUACUGUUUCAAACUAUCAACUUUAUACUUUAAUGAAAACAAUAGUUGUCCCAUGCUCCAAUCAUGUACACUAUGUUUUUCUAAACACGAGUCAUGCCUUACACUAAGUAUGCACACUAUGUUUUACUAUAAUCUUUACUUUGUGAAAUAGAUCGAUUGAACAUAAUUCCAAUGAUUCUCAUUUCACAAUCCCAAACCCUUAACGCAAAUGCAAGAAUUCCAAAUCCUGCCAUUUACCUAAAUUUGUUAGAUUCUAAGCUUAUAUGCAUUGGUCCUCUUGUAAUGAUUAUGCACAAAGUCACAAAGACUUGUCAACAGACAUUAUAGAGUAUUCCAUUAGAGACCAAAUCCAUGGAAACGAAGUCUCAAAUUCAAAGUUCAUUGCCUUUGAACAUUCUUCUUGCAUUAAGUUUCCUAAGCUUACACAAAUUUAAUGAGUAACUUCCACCUACGGGAACAACUCCAUAUUCCCAUUUUGACUAUCACUCCUGAGCAAGAGUUGCCUCUUUCUAGAAUAUGUCAAUAUGGUCCUUCCAAAAUUAGCACUAUGCUUCCAACUGUCCCUGAGCAACCAAUCUUUGGUAAACCUUAGAUUGUCCUCAACAAUUGCUUAAUCAUUUUAGUCAUUUCCAAUUCUAGACCUUUUUCCUUCUUAAUGCCCCAGGUAUUUGGAAGAUUUUAGAAAGGAUGAAUAUUAGAGCACAUGCAAUCGAUCAUAUAUCCGAAGCAUAUGGGACACGAUUCAUGAUGUCUCACAUAAAGACAUGAUACUAGACCAGUCCUUUUGCUACAAUAUUUCUUUUUUGCCAAGUUCUCUUAAUUCAGAUUAAUAAAAGGGAUGCCGUAAUCAUAAUCGAAUUUUAGAAUGCAAAUAAUGUACCCAUAUAUAGAAUUUCCUUAUGUUGAGCCAUUCCAACACAAAAUUCAUAAAUAUCAUUGACUAAAUUUGAUUAAAAUCUCACGAUCUUAGCUUAUAGAUUUGAGAUGAAGUAUAAUUUCCUCUCCCUUAAUUAUAGCAAAAAACAUUUUCCCAAUUGAAACUAUUUUUCUUUAAUUAACAUUUCUAACUCGCAACACUUAUCAUAAUUAUCAUUCUCCCACUAACAUGAUUAUUAUUAUCAUAACACUUAUGCUCCCACUAGCUUUGACAUGUACUUUGAAAUCAGCUGGACUUCUACUAAUCAAUACUUUAUUCACUUUCUUACCAAAGUACAGACUUAUGAUACGAAAUGCUUUUAUAAAAACUUUAUAAAAAUCAUACACCUUUCCUUACAUAGCACACAUGUGUGUCUAAACAAUUUCAAAACUAUGAAAAAAGAUGUCAUAAUCAUAUUCUCAAUUGUUUAGACCUUUGCCAUUCCUCACAAGUCCAUGUUAAUGUGCCGGUUAACCACACACGCUCCACUAACGACUUUGAGAAUGCAAAUAUCAUACCUGUUAUCUAAUUAAAAUCUACAUAGUGAAAGUGUUUCCUCGCCAUUAUUUUCAUGAAUUGAAGAGAAACCUUAUGACAUUUAGUUUUUAUGGUGUAUGUGUUCCUAUCCAUGUGAAUUUGUCAAAACCAUAAUCACAGGACAAGGUUAGUGACAAAUCCAAACUCUUAUGGAUUGAACUUAUGCAAUCUUAACUUCUUGCAACCUGGUAGCACAAGGGACUGCCAUUUCUUCCAAGUGUUUAUGGAACCCAUUGAGAACUCUCAGAACUGAUAUGCAAAGCCAACUUUAACUAGAUUGGGCACAGAAAUAGAAAUAUGUCAACACGACAGGUUAUAAACAUCAUGUCAUGUGCUAGUGUCCAACUACAGGUUUUUACUCUUGAUUAGAUCUUGAAAUUCUUUUAGGAUCAUUAUGACUCCCACUGUCCUCUUGACAUAUAAGUCUAUCGUGUCGAAUAUUCCAGAGAUAUUGUUGAUUCUUUAUCAAGACCAACACUUCACACAAUUGGCCUUAGUUGUUAUUUGUUUUAUCCAAAACAUCACAACUUACAAAUUUCAAAUGUACAAGAGUAGAAAGCAUUUUACUCUUACAUUUGACAAGUGUUAUAAACCUUUCUUUAAGAUAUGUCACUCAAGUUACAAUCUUGGAGUAUGACUCUAAGAAUUGUUUUGGAAGGAAGUAUGACUCAUCUUCUUAAUUUAACCAUUUCAACAAUUCAAGAUUCCUCUUCUUAGUCAUAAGAAUGCACUAAGAUGUCCUUAGAGGACCAAUUGUGAUAUGGUUUCUUUAUCAUUAAGAUGAUCACAAAACUUGACACUAAAGUACUCUCCGAUCUUUUCAGAUUUGAGAAACUUUUUUCCAUGUGCCUAUUUUGAUUCUUCUCAUUCGUUCGGCCAUACAUCGAAAAUUUUCCAAUGUUUCAGAAUUAUACUUAAACUGGUAAGUAUAACCAUAUUUACUAAACUUUAGUAAAUCAUGACGAAUAGUCUUAUCCAUCUUUUGUGGUGGACUUGACCAGUGCACAAGAAUGUGUACUCGAUCCCUUAGUCCUUCACUUGACUCACAUAUGCAUGUGAACAAGAAAUUAGUCUUAAUUUUCCAAAGAUGAAAAAUUCUCAUUCAUCAUACCAUAUAACUUGCAUGAUUGCAAGUUUCGGUCCAAUUGAAACCUUGGGUGAUGAGAAUCUUUCCUUAUUUGGUAAAUUUAGAUACUACCAUAAAUGAAAGAAACAAAUCCAUUUUCCAAUGUUGCUAUCAAUGGAAUCAUAUAAGCAACAAUUUAUCACACAUGCCAUUGUAAGGAUACUUAGAAUAAAUGGAAUCAAAACUUUUCCUUUUAUUUUAAGCUUUGCGGAAACACUUAUCCUUACAGUGCAAAAGCAUAUGAAAAACAUGUUGUUAUCUAUUCCUAACCAAUAUAUCAUGACUCCUAAGCAACAGCUCAAAAUUCUGAUCACCGAACCAUGCGAUCAAAAUCCAUCUUCGUGAUCAGAAUCAGCAUAUACUUCCUUUAAGUUUCUUCAGUUUUUCUUUGAUUCUUCAAACAUCAACAUGUGACCCAGUCACAUCAUGUAAUAAUAAUAUGAGAAUAGAAACUUAACAGAGUUAGAUACUAGACUUUACUUGAAGUAGAGUCAAACAUUGUGACUUGAUUAACCUUUAUGAUCUUUCAGGUGAAUAGGCAACUUCGCAAUCAAUUCCCCUUCCUUUGACAAGAGAAACAUAUGGACUCUUUGGGAAUGGUACAUUGGACUAUCGCAGAGUUGCCUUUCUCUUUACCAUUUGGGCAACCGACUUGACUAUGGUCAAUCCCUUUCCUUGGGAAGAGAAAGCCUUUCCUAGAUACCCAAUGUAAUCAUUGUCAAUGUCCAUUGGGAAGUUGAUCUCUUAAUCAAAUUUGAUGUACCAAUGCUCUAAAUCAUUGCUGCUUUAGCAGCACCAAGCAAAUAGAUAAGAUCAUUAAGGGUCCUAUCAUAGUCUGUUUCAUAGUAGUCCCAAAGGAACUCACUAUGUGACUUAGAAAGUGAUCGAACAACCAACUUUCUUAAGACUUUGACACCCAACUCACCCGGUUUGUCAAUAUGUGACUUCAUCUCCAAGAUGUGAGCACACAUAGACCUUGCAUGCCAGUAGGGCUAGAGUGACCUUGAACUUGUGGGUUAGGGAGAAUAAUUGGAGGAAGUGGAGGAAGCAAAGUUCCAAGAGAUUUCGGAAGAUCAUGGAUGUCUGAACUAGACAUCUUUUAGGAGAUAUUCAAGAUAGUUGAUCUAAAGUCCUUAAUAUAACACCCAAUAUGAAAUAUUAAGGCUAGGACCCAACACGAUACUUUUAUAACUUGGAACAGGGAUGCCGUAAUCCAAGCUAUAAAACAUUUCAAGGUAGGUGAAUGACGAUUCACCAAUUUCCACCAUGAAAACGAAAUAAUUUAAUCAGGGUUUACAUUGAUUUGAAACUCCUAGAUCUUUUGAAAUUCAUUGAACUGUUCAAUGACAUGUUUCAAUCUCGAUUGUUCCCUCUCAAAUUUUGGGAUUGAGAUGCUGAGGAUCACAAAACAAGGAGUGAAUAACAAUGCAAAUAUACUUGGUACCCUUAAUAAUUUACCCCUUCAUGGAUGUGUCUGUUAACCACACGCGCUCCACUGAUAGUAUGAUAAACAUUAAGUUACCCUUUUCCUGCCUUGUUAAAUCCAGCUAGUGUGCCGGUUAAUCACACGUGCUCCACAAACCAACUUAAGCAAAGUGCAUAGUGUAAUUUCAUGGCUUAGCACCAAAUUCACAUUUUCCUAAGCAACUAUGAUUGGGAAUGAAUAAAAGUUUAGUUACUUAGUAUUUCUCAUUAAUACUUUUAAUGAAGGGAGAAUUCUAGUCCUUGUCCCACCUGUUCAGCUAAGGACCCUCCACCAAUCAAGUAAAGGGUGGGUGAGAGUGGACACUCAUUAAACUGCCAUUUUAUAGGAAGUAACCUUAUACCCCCCCCCCUUAUAGACCGGCUUCGUGAAUGAGGCCUACUAAUGGUAAGACUGACUUGCUCUUAUACACAUAUAUAUAAAGUGUGUGUGAGACUUUACAAAUUACAAAACUUGAGGGCAAGUUUUGAAACUAUUUAAAAACUUUUCAUUUCUAUAGCUUAUGAGUUUNAAAAUUCUAAGGGCUUAACUUGGAAUUAAAUUAUUCAUAAGGGAAAACUUUUCAAAUUCAAAAACAUGAGGGCAAGUUUUGAAACUAUUGAAAACUAUUCAAUUCCAUAAUUUAUGUGUUUAAAGUUGUUUUAAUUCAAAAAAAUCUUCAAGUUGCAUAACUUGAGGACAAGUUAUGGAAGAUUUUAAACUAUUAAAGAGUAUGACUUUUCUUUAUUCAUAACCUAUGGAAAUAUUUAUGAGUUUUAUAAAUCUUAAAUAUGACUUUUCUUUAACUUGAGGACAAGUUACAAAAACACAUUUUAGAACCAACUCUUAGAUUAAUUUGGAUUGAAAACAACAAUUUCACAUAACUUUUCUAUUAAUCUAAGCAACUCAUAAGAACAAGAUAAUUCAAUCAAACUUUUACAUCUAAUUAGCCUAACCAAUAAACUAAUACAAAACAUGAAUCUAUUGACAAUUAUCUUUGAAAUUGGAUUAGCAUGAACAUUACCACACCAAAACUAGGUUUAUAAGUUGAAAAACAGCUUAGGGUAAUGUUCCUAGUCCAAAUCCAGCCAAAACGUUCGAAGCUAUGCUGUCUAGGGGUCCAACGCGUCGAGUGCGUGAACCAACUCAGCGAGUUGGAUGAGUUUAGCCUUGGACUCAUCGAGUUCCUUCAUGGACUCGGCGAGUAUGCUGAGCAGACAGCAACUAAAUUUGAUUUUUGAGCCAAUUUUGCAAGUAUAACAAGAAAACAAGCCUAGGCUUUGAUACCACUGUUGAGUUAUGAGCAUUCUAACACUGCUAAGUGUACAUGCAACCCUAAAUACCUUGGAUCUAUGUUUUCUCUAUCAUACUUGGGUAAUAUAACAAGUUAGAAUACACACAUGUUGAUGUAGCUUGACUCCAUGAAGCUCGAGAGCCUAGUUCCCCAAGUGUGACACCUCAAAUGGUUCACACAACAUCAUCAACACUCGGAAUAACCAUGAAAAGAGAUACAUGAACUCUAGAAAUUGUCUUGCCCUCUUGUUUAUAUACUAGUGCCAAUUUCACCAACCAAUGGGGUCUUUAUAUAGUGUGGCUAUUCGGGUUACAACAUGUAACUCAUGACUUUACUCAUUCCUUAUGCUCCAUGGGUUUUAACCUCCUUGGAGUAUCCAUGGGUCACCACAUAGGUUAAACUCAACAUGAGGAUUCAUGGAUCAUCAGCCCACAUAUAUAAGAAUGAAUGAUUUACACAAUCAUUCCCCAUAUAUUUAACUAGUCUCUUUUGAUCACUAAAUUAAGUCCAAAUUAAUUCUUGAUCAAUACUAAUUAAAUAACAUGAUUUCAUAUUAAUAUAUUAGAAUUUAUAAUAUAUUAAUAUGUCACAAAUGUCCUCUCCUCACAAAUGGUCCAUCCAAAUGUUCCGAUGCCAUGCAACCCAAAUGGACCAUGCCGAGUUGGGUCAUGUACAUACCAAUUGUAGUUAUGGACUUAAACACUAAUCCAACAAGUAGAUCGUGGAAUCUUUUGAUGUUCGUUGGUUGGUGGAAAAUGAGACAGAUGCCAGAGUCGGUCCUGACUAGUUGUUUGGUUCUGCUUCUUUAUUCAAAUCGUUUAGAGUGUUUUCAGAUGAUGUGUCAGGUUCCUGCUCUGGUUCGAAGGUUGUUCCUGAGGAUGAAGAGGAAGAGGUUGGCUAAAUUCCACCAUCAGUGUCUUCUACAUCUCCAUCAGUGAAUCAAUUUGUUCCAAGUGCUCCUUUAGAUUCCCCAACUCAUAGAAUCAAUCAUUAUGCUGAAGCCAUUCCACUCACUCCAGCUGAAAGAGACUUCAUGACCAUAGAUACUUCCACUACCACUCAAACUCUCAAAGAGCUUCUCUUUCCCGAACCAAUUGCAAAUGAGUAUGUGGCUAGCUCCUCUUACAAUCCCAGAUCAUCUAAGGAGAAUGAUUCAUCAAAUGAUGGAUUCAAAAAUAUCAACAACCUUCAUGUCACGCUUAAUGAUAUCAGCCAUGAAAUUCCAUCUCGACUGCAACGCGGUCAUCCUAUAGACAACGUUAUUGCUGAACUAGACGACGGUGUUCGAAUGAGAAGGUAGAAUUGUGACGUAAAUACAUGUCUCUACUCUUGCUUCAUCUAUCAGAUAAAGCCAAUGAAUUUUGAAAUGGCGCUGAAUGAGCCUAGUUGGGUUGAUGCAAUCAUGAAGAGCUGAAUCAAUUUGAGAAAUCAGGGGUUUCGAAGCUGGUUGAACUGCCAAAAGGAAAGAAGUCACUGGAUACCCGUUGGUUGUUUUUCAACAAAAAGGAUAAUUGUGGGGUAAUAGUGCGAAACAAAGCACGUUUGGUUCUUUAUGGCAUUCGGCAAAUCGAAGGACUUGACUACACUGAGGUGUAGGCUCCUGUAGCUUGUCUUGAAGCUAUCAGUAUCUUCCUGGCGUAUGCAUCCUACAUGGGGUUCACUGUAUAUCAGAUGGAUGUUAAGACUGCCUUUCUUUUAUGGAGAUGUGAAAGAGGAGAUUUACGUUGAUCAGCCUCCCAGUUUCGUCAACUCAAAGUUUCUGAAUUAUGUCUACAAAUUGGAUAAGGCUCUAUAUGGGUUACAUCAGGCUUCUCGGACCUGGUAUGCAUCCGUAAUAGAUCAUUUGCUCAAACAUGGUUACACCAGAGGCAUGAUCGAUCAGACACUCUUUAUAAAGCAUGUUGAUGGAGACAUAAUUCUUGUUCAGAUCUAUGUCGAUGACAUCAUCUUCGGGUCAACAAGCAAGAAGCUCUGCAAGGAGUUUGAGAUGAUUAUGAAGAGGAGGUUCGAGAUGAGUUCCCUGGGGGAAAUGAUGAUAUUUUGGGGUUUGCAAGUACGUCAAAUCUCAACUGGAAUUCUCCUGCACCAAGGAAAAUACGUUAAAGACAUGCUUGAGAUGUCCAAUUUUAAGGAUGCAAAAGCUUGCAUGAUACCGAUGGCUGAACGACUCCUAUUGUCUCCAGAUCCGUAAGGCGAAUCCGUAGAUCACACUGAGUAUAGAUCGAUGAUCGGAUCCCUGAUGUAUCUAACUGCGAGCAGGUCGGACAUCAUGUUUGCAGUUUGUCAAUGUCCACCAUACCAAGCUAAUCCUAAACUCUCUCAUUUUAUUACUGUCAAAAGAAUCUUUAGGUAUCUCAAAGGCAGCCCAAAAUUGGGUCUUUGGUAUACUCAAAAUUCUGAUUUUGAUUUAUAUGCGUUCGCUGACAGCAAUUAUGGAGGUUGUGAAGUUGACAUGAAAUCAACGUCUGGGUGAUGUUGAUUUCUAGGUGACAGUCUAGUGCCAUGGAAAUGCAAGAAAAACAGACAUUGAAAACCUCAACGGCGGAGGCAGAAUACAUUGUUGCUUCUUCCUAUUGCUCUCAUGUCAUUUGUAUUUGUUGAGUCUAUUAGAUUGCGUCAUGGGCUCGGUCCUUAGCCCAGUUUAAAUGCCGGUAUUGGGCCUGCCCAGCCGUGCAUAAUUUUAUACUAGGGUUUAGUAUAUAAGCUGCAUGCAUGCAGACUUAGAAGUAAUCGCAUUCAUUGUUUUUGCUUCAUAUUUUCUGUAAACCCUAGCUCGCCUCUACAGUGGAAGUUCUUCAUCGAGCUCUGCUGAGGCGUGACUUAGUUUGAAUCAUAAGCACGUAUUUGAUUCUUAUUUGUGUUCAUUAUUAUAUUGUUCUUAAACUCUUUGAUUUCUUUUAUCGUACCUUUGAAAGAUCUAAUCGAUCUUAGAGUUUUGAACUCAUCAAUUGGUAUCAGAGCAGGAUGUUGUGUAAUUCAUACACACCUCUUCUGUCGAAGAAAUUCAUAGGGUUUUAAUUCCGCAUUGAUUGAUAUUUAUUGAGCCGUCACUCUUUAUUGACGUAUCUCAUUAAUUGUUGAUCUAACCCUAACGAAAUAUUACAAGUCUGAUCUUUUACAGGUUAUCGAUCAAAAGUAUUUACAAUGUCCAUGGACGAGUCACAAACCAAUCCGAUCAAUAUCUCCAACAGCAUAGGCUCUACAACAAGAAUACCAAUCUUGUAUACGCAAGACUAUGAAGUUUGGACGCAUCACUUUGAAGACUACGUGAUUGGAUCGGAGGACAAUGGGUAUCUAAUAUGGGAAGCAAUUACUGCAGGUCCGUUCGCUCACUCAAGGACAUCAAAGAUUGUUAAAACACAGAAAAAAUACAAUCAGCUUGUCAAUGAUGUCAAAGACAUUCCUUGGGAUGAAAAGGAGAAGUUUCAAUGCAACAUCAAAGCUCUGAGGAUGAUAAUGUUUGCACUGCAAUCGGAUACGUUUCGUUUAGUGAGUUCUUCAGCUACAGCUAAGGAGAUCUGGGAUAGAUUGAAGGAAUUAUAUUCCACAGACGAAGACUUGGAACACUCUAUCCAAACUCUCUUGUUAUCUCAGACUCUUCCCACUAUCCUGGGAACCAACUCUCUCAACCCAACCAUAGAGGUCAUGGUUUCCCUGAUACGCAUAUGGGUCCUGUGCUUUUAGUAGUACGGGCCCAUACUACCUUCCACACCUACCCAUAUUUGUAUGAAGUACUACCACAACACCCUAGUGAAAACAUGCAUAACAACGCUCAACCCUCACAACUAGAGGAACACUGGAAAUCUCUCAUAAGGAAGCCCUAGGCUACAGGCAUCACAAAUCAGGCAACAUUAUCAUGAAAUCCUGAAGAUCCCUAGCCUAGCACUAGCAUGCUGUUCUAACAAAGCUCAAAACACAUAUCAUGUAUGGUAUUUCGGGGUUACUUACUGGCUCCAUCUGAUCGUACCUCCGCGUCCUCCUUUACUCAUUUUGAAAACCAUUUUAAAUACUCUUUUGAAAACUCUCCUCGAUUUGAGACUGGAGUCACAUGAAUGUUCCUCCAAUUCACUCAAACCAAGGCUCUGAUACCAACUUGUAACGACCAGAAAUUUCAACCAAUUUAAAAUUUUCAAAAACAACCCGAUUCCAUUAAAGUUUAUUACAAAAAGGUUUUCAAUACAAUUUAUUUUAAGUAUUCCCAGAAUCUCAUCACAAUUAUAACACGAGGAGCGGUACGAUCACGCCUUCGCCUUGCCACGGUCACCUGAAGAACCUGAAAAACAUUAAACCACAACUGUAAGCCCGAAAGCUUAGUGAGAUACCCCCAAAAUACCAACCACAUAUACCAUACAUGCAUAAUAUGCCAUAACAUAUCCGAUCACAGAACAACCAUGCACUUCGGGUCUACUGUGGGACUGGUCCGCCGCACCGGCCAACAGUCCACCUGGUCCACCCUCCGAGUCUAGCCAUAUACCUCGAGUCUACAGUGUGAUUGGUCCGCCUGCACCGGGCGUUCAAUCC